AGUGAACGCUGGCGGUAGGCCUAACACAUGCAAGUCGAACGGCAGCACAGUAAGAGCUUGCUCUUACGGGUGGCGAGUGGCGGACGGGUGAGGAAUACAUCGGAAUCUACUUUUUCGUGGGGGAUAACGUAGGGAAACUUACGCUAAUACCGCAUACGACCUACGGGUGAAAGCAGGGGAUCUUCGGACCUUGCGCGAUUGAAUGAGCCGAUGUCGGAUUAGCUAGUUGGCGGGGUAAAGGCCCACCAAGGCGACGAUCCGUAGCUGGUCUGAGAGGAUGAUGGGCGACACUGGAACAGAGAGACGGUGCAGACUCCGACGGGAGGCACCAGUAGGGAAGAGGCACAAAAGGUUGCAAGCUUGACGGAGCAAUGGCGCGUGAGUGAAGAAGGGCUGCGGAUCGUAAGAAGCUGUGAGGAGGGAAGAACAUAGGUGAAAGUAACUGGGCACACCGGGAGGGGAGCUAAUAAGAAAGAGACGGCUAACUACGUG
RNAcentral lists this ribosomal RNA (492 nucleotides) under uncultured bacterium. Its description in RNAcentral is "partial 16S ribosomal RNA". It matches the Rfam family "Bacterial small subunit ribosomal RNA", at positions 30 to 507 of the family's 1533-position model. The record is from RNAcentral.